GGACGAACGCUGGCGGCGUGCUUAACACAUGCAAGUCGAGCGGUAAGGCCCUUUCGGGGGUACACGAGCGGCGAACGGGUGAGUAACACGUGGGUGACCUGCCCUCAGCUCUGGGAUAAGCCUGGGAAACCGGGUCUAAUACCGAAUAUGACUCCAUGACGCAUGUUGUGGGGUGGAAAGCCUUGUGCGGCUGAGGAUGGGCCCGCGGCCUAUCAGCUUGUUGGUGGGGUGAUGGCCUACCAAGGCGACGACGGGUAGCCGGCCUG
RNAcentral lists this ribosomal RNA (266 nucleotides) under uncultured bacterium. RNAcentral describes it as "partial 16S ribosomal RNA". It matches the Rfam family "Bacterial small subunit ribosomal RNA", at positions 27 to 294 of the family's 1533-position model. The record is from RNAcentral.